This 222-nucleotide long non-coding RNA is filed under the name Sinocyclocheilus anshuiensis. RNAcentral describes it as "lncRNA (ENSSANG00000048829.1)". The record is from RNAcentral. Lineage: Eukaryota; Metazoa; Chordata; Actinopteri; Cypriniformes; Cyprinidae.
CUGACCUCGAUGAGAUCAUCAUGCCAGUAGAUGGGAUUGAACUCCAUCUAGUGUUUGGAGACAUCACUAAUGAGACUACUGAUGCCAUCGUGAACACCACUGACUUUAAGGACUUCCAGACAGCUGGAGUGUGUAAGGACAUCCUUACUAAGGCAGGACCUCAAAUCCAGGCUCAACUGACAGGCGCUCAGGUAGCAAGAGGGCAGAUCUUUACGACCCCGC